Long non-coding RNA from Vespa mandarinia (Asian giant hornet), 698 nucleotides. NCBI's taxonomy places the organism in Eukaryota, Metazoa, Arthropoda, Insecta, Hymenoptera, Vespidae. The record is from RefSeq and is a predicted model, not a curated record.
GAUCGCGGUAACGCCGGUACUCUCUGUUGAUUUCUCCCUCGUUAAUCCAUGAGAAUUUUCUUUUCGUAAAUUCUCAUUUCUUUGAUAGAUGAUCGCGGUAAUAAAAGUUAUUCGAAAUUCGUGAGUUUAUAUUAUAAUCUCGUUCGAUCGUGAAUAGUGUGAUAGAUCAAGUGAUCGCUUUAUUCUAUUUCAGUGUUAUUUCGACGAUAUAUAAAAGAAAAGAGAAAAAUAAACUGUACGUUUAUCGUUGACAUUGAAAUAAAAGAAUCUUCGAUAGAAAGAGAGAAAGGGAGAAAAAAAAGAAGGAGAGAAAGAGAAACAAAAAGAAAAAGAGAGUGAGAGAGAGAAAGAGAAAAAAGAAAAAAGGAAAAAGUGAAAAAUAUAUUAUAUUUUGGAAAGCAUCAAGUAUAAGUGUCUCAAAAGAAAGUGAUAAUUUAAAGGGGAGUGAGAGUUUUAGUUCGUUCUCAAGGUCAACCUCUUCUUCCUUAUCUCCUCGUUCGCAUACUCGACAGAAUAUAUACUUAUUUCGAACUUACUCUUUCGUUAAGAUAUUGUUUUACAGUUCGUAAAUCUCAAAUAACAAUUACACAUCGUCGAACGUACACGUGGAUGCAUAUAAUACGUACAUAUAUUAAAGUUCGCAAAGUGUUAAUGAAAGGAAAAGAAAAAAAGAAAGAAUAAAUAAGAGAAAAAAGAAA